GACGAACGCUGGCGGCGUGCUUAACACAUGCAAGUCGAGCGGUAAGGCCUCUUCGGGGGUACACGAGCGGCGUACGGGUGAGUAACACGUGGGUGACCUGCCCUCAGCUCUGGGAUAAGCCUGGGAAACUGGGUCUAAUACCGGAUAUGACCUUUCCUCGCAUGGGGUUUGGUGGCAAGUUUUUUCGGCUGGGGAUGGGCCCGCGGCCCAUCCGCUUGUUGGUGGGGUGAUGGCCUACCAAGGCGACGACGGGUAGCCGGCCUGGGGAGGCGACCGGCCAAACUGGGACCGAGGCACGGCCCAGACUCCUACGGGAGGGAGCAGUGGGGGAUAUUGCGCAAUGGGCGGAAGGCUGACGCAGCGACGGCGCGUGGGGGAAGGCAGCCUUCGGGUUGUAAACCUCUUUCGACCCGGGCGAAUUUUGACGGUAGGGGUAGAAGAAGCACCGGCCAACUACGUG
RNAcentral lists this ribosomal RNA (460 nucleotides) under uncultured bacterium. RNAcentral describes it as "partial 16S ribosomal RNA". It matches the Rfam family "Bacterial small subunit ribosomal RNA", at positions 28 to 507 of the family's 1533-position model. The record is from RNAcentral.